GAUCAUCUAACAAUAGAUUUGAACCAAAGAAAUCCAAAGACCAUGGCCAAUAGAUCUCAUCAACCAUUAUCAACAACAAAGGUAAAAAUGUCAAUAAAAUGGUCAAAAUAAAAUAUAUGGAUGGAAAAUGUUCUAAGUAUAUACAAAAAUAUGAGAUUCAAAAAUAAAUAAGUGGUAAAAAAUGAAAUUAAAAAUGGGAUGAAAAUAAGAAAAAUAAGUGAAAAUAUAAAAAUAAGGGAAAAA
RNAcentral lists this long non-coding RNA (243 nucleotides) under Lathyrus oleraceus (garden pea). RNAcentral's name for it is "Pisum sativum (pea) long non-coding RNA (PSAT_LNC011638)". Lineage: Eukaryota; Viridiplantae; Streptophyta; Magnoliopsida; Fabales; Fabaceae. The record is from RNAcentral.